Molecule: ribosomal RNA, 254 nt
Filed under: uncultured bacterium
Lineage: Bacteria
Description: partial 16S ribosomal RNA
Rfam family: Bacterial small subunit ribosomal RNA
Source: RNAcentral
CAAACCAAAGCUGGCGACCGGCGCACGGGUGAGUAACACGUAUCCAACCUGCCUCAUACUCGGGGAUAGCCUUUCGAAAGAAAGAUUAAUAUCCGAUAGCAUAUAUUUCCCGCAUGGGUUUUAUAUUAAAGAAAUUCGGUAUGAGAUGGGGAUGCGUUCCAUUAGUUUGUUGGGGGGUAACGGCCCACCAAGACUACGAUGGAUAGGGGUUCUGAGAGGAAGGUCCCCCACAUUGGAACUGAGACACGGACCAA